This is a long non-coding RNA of Hippocampus zosterae (dwarf seahorse), 596 nucleotides long. RefSeq lists it as uncharacterized. The record is from RefSeq and is a predicted model, not a curated record. Lineage: Eukaryota; Metazoa; Chordata; Actinopteri; Syngnathiformes; Syngnathidae. The transcript is spliced from 3 exons.
UUUCAGUGCGAUCCUGUAGGGGGCAGCAGUGGCGCGUCGUGGUUCAAAUGAAGUAUUGGUUUUGAAACGAAUAACUCAACGUGAGCAUUUCCUGUCCAAACGUGUUUAAAAAUAGAAAUAAGGUGGCAACAUCUCCAGACAAGUGUCUGUCGCACCUCCUCAGGUAGGCAGAGAGCCCUCGUCUGCUGCUUGAGAUGGUCGACAGAGCUUCAAGGCGAUCCUCUGGGAUCGUCUUCGCCUCACUGGAGUGUAGUGGCUGAGAGAGACCGACCCACUCAACUGCUUUUCGAGUCUUGUCUCCAUCUCGGAGUUCCAGAGCCUCGUAUAUUCCGGUGGAGGCGCCGCUCGGCACUGCCGCUCGGAAAAGGCCUUGGAUUGGGGACAAAAUGGUGAGCUAUGAGUUCAUUUACAGUUACGUCUUUGGCCAAAUGUCAGCUUUUUACUUUUGUUGCACAAUCACAAUGGAGUUUUAAUUAAAGUUUUUCUUUCAUUAAAUAUAGAGCACCAUUAUUUGCAGGUACUGUUGAAGUAUUUGGUCACUUGUCUUAAAUAUGAUUUCGCACCUAAUUGUAUCAAAAAGUUUCAACCUUGGACAU